RNAcentral lists this transfer RNA (71 nucleotides) under Ictidomys tridecemlineatus (thirteen-lined ground squirrel). RNAcentral's name for it is "Spermophilus tridecemlineatus (thirteen-lined ground squirrel) tRNA". It matches the Rfam family "tRNA". Rfam says of the family: Transfer RNA (tRNA) molecules are approximately 80 nucleotides in length. Their secondary structure includes four short double-helical elements and three loops (D, anti-codon, and T loops). The record is from Rfam by way of RNAcentral. Lineage: Eukaryota; Metazoa; Chordata; Mammalia; Rodentia; Sciuridae.
AUGGUUGUGGCUCAGUGGUAGAGCACUCACCUAGCAGGUGUAAGGCCCUGGGUUUGAUCCUCAGCACCACA